Molecule: non-coding RNA, 71 nt
Organism: Ictidomys tridecemlineatus (thirteen-lined ground squirrel)
Lineage: Eukaryota; Metazoa; Chordata; Mammalia; Rodentia; Sciuridae
Source: Rfam
GUGGUUGUAGCUCAGUGUUAGAGCACUUGCCUCUCACGUGUGAGGUACUGGGUUCAAUCCUCAGCACCACA